Triticum aestivum (bread wheat) is the source of this 2277-nucleotide RNA transcript. It is a transcript of the gene named malonyl-CoA decarboxylase, mitochondrial, with no coding region annotated. NCBI's taxonomy places the organism in Eukaryota, Viridiplantae, Streptophyta, Magnoliopsida, Poales, Poaceae. The transcript is spliced from 13 exons. The record is from RefSeq and is a predicted model, not a curated record.
CCCAACCGCAUAGUUGGCGCACCGCCACCGUCCGUCCUCUCCAAACCUCCCAGUUCGCAACCUCCGUCGGCGCGCGCGCCGGUGACACCGCCCUUCCUGACCACAUCUAUCUUCCUUCCAUCGCCGGUGGCGGCAGCUCCGAUCGCAUCGCAUGACCAGGAGCCACACCCCGAAAUCCCUCGCCGUCCUGCUCCGUGCCAGGAUGCACCCCGACUCUAUCCCCUCGCCGCCGCCCGCUCCGUCACCCGCCGCCAGCCCCGAGCCCGGCCCCAGUGCCCGGACAGCCGCCGCCUCCUCCGUCCGCCACUGGCUCCACGCCUCAAUCGCCGCGGCCUCCCCGCCUCCCGCCGCCCUCGAGUGCUUCUCCGACGGGUACCGCUCCCUCGACCGAGGCGGCCGCCACGAGAUCCUCCGAUCCCUCGCCACAGACUACGACGUGCCCCGCGCGCGGGUUCGCGACCUCAUGCGCCAGUACGUGAGCGUCUCCGCCACCGGGGAGGGUGGGGACCAGCAGCCGGGGGCGGAGAGAGAGGAGGGCGGCGCCGCAUCGGCUUUGUACCGUAUGGAGAGGGGGCUCCGGGACGCCCUCCGGCCCAAGUACGCCGGGUUCCUCGAGGCCAUGAACGCGCAGCCUGGCGGGCUCAAGCUCCUCGCGGUCAUCCGAGCCGACCUCCUCGCCUUGCUGGGGGAGGAGAAUGCUCCAGUGCUGCGUGCAUUGGAUGGGUACUUGAAGGAGAAGCUCGUGACGUGGCUCAGCCCAGCGGCACUGGCACUCCACCAGAUAACCUGGGAUGAUCCUGCCUCCUUGCUCGAGAAGAUUGUGGCUUAUGAAGCUGUGCAUCCAAUCAGGAAUCUGAUAGACUUGAAGAGAAGGCUGGGUGUGGGCCGACGUUGUUUUGGUUACUUCCAUCCUGCGAUACCAGGGGAGCCCCUGAUUUUCAUCGAAGUUGCUCUCCUCAAAGAUAUGGCCACAUCUAUACAGGAAGUUUUGUUGGAUGUCCCUCCAAUCGCUGAAUGUGAAGCUAAAUGUGCACUGUUUUACUCAAUAUCGUCAACCCAGCCAGGCUUAUCAGGUAUUAAUCUGGGAAAGUUUCUUCUCAAGCGUGUCAUUGACAUGUUGAGAAAAGAUAUGCCUUCCGUGCAGAUUUUUGCUACUCUUAGCCCGAUACCUGGUUUCAUGCAAUGGCUUCUCGCUAAGUUGGCCUCUCAAAUAAAAUUAGCAGAGACAGAGAUGCAAGAGGGCAAUUCGAUAGAAGGUGCCAGUUCUACUUUCAGAGAAUCCAUCCUUUUCCCGGAGGAAGAGAAGAUGAUACACAGUGCCAUCGAUCAAGUCAACGGUAAACAAGGAAUUGAACUUUUGCAAGAUAUACUGAAAUCAAGUCAAUGGGCAAAGUCUGAAAAAUUAUCUGCUGCGCUGAAAUCUCCUCUUAUGCGUUUGUGUGUAAGGUAUCUUACCAGAGAGAAAAUACGAGGAAAAGCUCUAGAUGCUGUUGCUAAUUUUCACUUGCAAAAUGGAGCAAUGGUUGAGAGAAUAAACUGGAUGGCCGACCAAUCCGAGAAGGGCAUUGAACAAAGUGGAGGUAUCAUGGUCAAUUAUCUGUACAGGUUGGAGAAUAUAGAAGAAUAUGCAUCGUCUUAUUCGGCUACAGGGAUUAUCCAUACGUCAUCUAGCCUUUCCUAACAUGUUGAGCCACAUAUAUAUGAAAUGGAGAUGCAGUUGCUUCAUCACAUCAACACAUCGUAUCUGUGUGUGAUACACUCAACAAAGAUGAUUUACUACGAAAGGGUCUGACACCUCUUCUGCGGUUUAAUCCAGGGCACAUGUUUAGUUUGGUAGUGGCUGUUCCUUCCGUAUACUACCUUCUAAAAGCCUAGAGGAGAUAUGAACUGAAGACUCGGCUAGCUCUUUAUCCCUUCCACUUUGGGAACCGUAGCAGAAAAUACAUGUAUUUAUAUCUUGCACAUGAACAUGCAAAGGAACACAUACUGCAAAUUACUGGUCACAGUGGUGCACCCUGCGGCCAGAGUUCAAAUCCCGUCGGGAGCGAAUUUUGCGAAUUUCUGGUUCCUCACCCGGGUGGGCUUCUUCUAUAAAAAUAUGUCCUGGGUGCUAGUGCCCAUGGAUCUCAUUUUAAUUUGUGGAGCAAAAUCUGAUAGGCCGCAGGGUAGCGGUUGACAUUGUUGCCUUGUAACAGCGCAAGCCGUUUUCUUUUUGAAAUUGCUAAAACUAAGCUGGAAUGCGACAAGAUUUGUGCUGUGCUGUUGGGCGGCCCGUUA